This is a small nuclear RNA of Neofelis nebulosa (Clouded leopard), 182 nucleotides long. RefSeq annotates it as U2 spliceosomal RNA. Lineage: Eukaryota; Metazoa; Chordata; Mammalia; Carnivora; Felidae. The transcript has a single exon. The record is from RefSeq and is a predicted model, not a curated record.
AUCGCUUCUCGGCCUUUUGGCUAAGAUCAAGUGUAGGACUUGUAUGCAAUGUAAUGCAUUUUUCUGUGAAAAACAGCAUUCUGAGAAGAGGGUAGGUUGUUUGAUUGGCUCAUAAAAGCCAACGUAACCGUAAAGUAUGUAACAAGCACAGCACCCCAAACACCUUUUCAGGUGCACCCGCC